This 335-nucleotide long non-coding RNA is filed under the name Elaeis guineensis (African oil palm). RNAcentral's name for it is "long non-coding RNA (EGUI_LNC037789)". Lineage: Eukaryota; Viridiplantae; Streptophyta; Magnoliopsida; Arecales; Arecaceae. The record is from RNAcentral.
CAGUGAGGCCCCUGACCUGCUGAACCAAUAGGUCAAACUACUCCAUGCUGACUGCCGUUGCCGGAGGAGGAGGAGCCUAAAAAAUUGGAGACGAGAUCGGAGCUUGCGGAUCUCGCUGAGAUCUGGCCACGGAGGUCGUAGAUCGCCUGAUGGAUGCCUUUCGGGGAGGCAUCAGGUGGGGAUCUGGUAGGAGAAGAAGAAGAAGAUGACUGGAGACAGUCCCGUUGAGUGCUCCUUUAAGAACAAGGGUCUUGCGAAGGCACGUCCUUCCUCUAGUGCCAAUUCUGUUGGUGCAGAAUUCUGCCAACGUCGGAGAAGCUGGAGUUGAGGGGAUC